This is an RNA transcript of Daphnia pulex (common water flea), 4021 nucleotides long. It is a transcript of the gene named facilitated trehalose transporter Tret1-2 homolog, with no coding region annotated. The record is from RefSeq and is a predicted model, not a curated record. The transcript is spliced from 11 exons. NCBI's taxonomy places the organism in Eukaryota, Metazoa, Arthropoda, Branchiopoda, Diplostraca, Daphniidae.
UUAUUUGGUCAUCCACCCAAAGGUAACUUUCUAUUUCAUCCGUGGUCAUCAAACUGGCUUAUCGCUACAAAACUUUUUAUAUUUAUAAAUUGAGUCCGGGAAAGUAUGGCAAUUCGAUUCACAGGAGGGUUCCUCUUAAAAAACCAAGGACAGUGAAGCUAAAAAUACUGAUGAAGAACACUUAACUAGUGAUGACGUAAUGUAGUACGUACAAUUCGGAAUUGCUCUCACACCAAAAGAAAAGUUGGUUACCAUCGACAGCUAGAAAGGCGGAUCUGGGAAGAACAAAGCUUCGUUCGCAUGGUUAACUCUUGCAAAUUUGACACAGAAAACGUACCUUCGAAACCUUGGGAAAUCUAAAAUAAUUAUAGUGAAAAGGAUGACUUGCACCUUUUUGACUUUGGAUUACUCUUCCGCCCACAAGUACAGUUUAAAAGCUCGUCAGCAAGUUAAUUGAAAAAGAGGUGAUGCAUAAAAUUUGAGAGAUGAGCCCUUAUGUCCAUCGAAAGAAUGCUCCUUUCAUAACAUCCAUGCGGUCAAGGUGAAUACGUAAAUGUAAGGUUCGUUUAUCCUUGAAAGUUAAUGUUACACGAGACAUCAUAGUCACCGUAGUGUAAAACUAGUCCAGGAGUUCCUUAUUUGGCCAUGGAGAAGUUCCAAGGAUAAAAUGACGUGAAGAAGAUUUGUAAAGAGAAAGGUGGAAAUCCACCUUACCCGCUUUUCCCGCUUAGGGCAAUAGAAUCGAAUCAUUAGGGUCAUUAUUUGUCUAGCAAGUACUACUCAUACAAGAAACAUCGGAGGCGAUAUAAGUAGCCGAAAUUGGCAGUGCAGAAUUCAUUCGUCCUACUCUCACCUUCGAGAUCGGCGGUGCUCACGCUAGUUCCCUGCACUUCAUAUUCCUGCCAUCAUGGGUGACUGUUCAACAACGAAAAUUCGCAAAACUAUCCCGCCGUUCAAAAACUGGCCUAAAGUGGCUCCGCAGAUUAUUUGCGCGGCUUCAGCAUCAUGGGCCAUGCUCUGCACAGGUCUCGUUCGUGGAUGGAGUUCGUCUGCCGUUCCGCAGUUGACUUCUGCGAACAACGAAACCUUGCAUCUCGAACGAGAGGAAGCCGCAUGGAUAACGUCUUUGCCUCCCCUUUGUGCCAUUUUUGGCAGUUUGCUGAUCGCCUAUCCAAUGGAAAUGUACGGCCGCCGCAUGACAUUGGCAACCAUUUCAAUACCCUACGUUCUAGGAUUUUAUCUGAUGGGAUUGUCGUAUUACGUGGAUUGGGCGCCCCUUCUUUUUAUUGGUCGCACCAUCACUGGCUUGAUUACGGGUGCAUCGGCACCCACUUCACAGAUUUAUGUGAGUGAAUGCGCUUCCCCAAGGGUGCGAGGAGCUCUAGGAUCAUUUACAUCCACCUUCAUGUCGUUUGGUAUCUUGAUUGCUUACAUUAUUGGAGCCGUCGUCGAGUGGCAAGUAAUGUGCUUCGUCAUUGGAUCCCUGCCUAUCGUCUUGGGUUUAGCAAUGCUUUUGAUGCCGGAGACUCCUUCUUGGCUCGUUUCUCACGAUCAGGAAUCACAGGCCAAGGUUGCACUUCAGCAACUUCGCGGCAAAUACACGGACGUUGAAACGGAAUUUGAGCGCAUCAGAACAAAUGCCAACGCGCAACUACCAAAUUCAAGCUAUGCCAAAAUACUAACCAACAGCUAUUUAAUGAAACCCUUGCUCAUCUCCAUGACAUUGAUGUUCUUCCAGCAGUUUAGCGGCAUCAAUGCUAUCGUCUUUUAUUCCGCCAGCGUGUUCGAAGACGCCGGUAGUAGCUUAGAUCGUUUUGUAUCCAGCAUCAUUAUUGGUCUUGUGCAAAUGGUGUUCACUAUGGUUUCGGUUCUCUUGGUUGAUCGAUUUGGACGUCGAGUACUACUAAUGAUUUCCGGAACUUUUAUGGCGAUAUCGCUCUCCGGAUUAGGUGCCUUUGUUUAUGUGAAAAAUUCUUGGAAAGAGUUGUCUGUUGUUGUGGAUGACGGUACAGUGGCAGAGCCGACUGUAAUUGCUGAACUGGGCUGGCUUCCCUUACUCUGUCUCAUGACUUUCAUCAUCUCUUAUUCCAUCGGUUUCGGCGCUGUACCUCAAUUAGUGAUGGGCGAGCUUUUCCCUUUGGAGUAUCGUCAUCGACUUGGUACCAUUUCCGCCUCAUUCAGCCUAGGCUGUACAUUUUUGGUGGUACGAACUUUUCCUCUGAUGACCAGCACUAUGGGACUUGCAAGUGUUUAUGGCCUUUAUGCAGCCUGCUGCUUGACGGCCGUCGUUUUUGUCGGACUUUUUCUCCCUGAAACUAAAGGGAAAACUUUGGAAGAGAUCAGUAAAUUCUUCGGUCAGCCAGUACCAAAAAAUGUUGCAACUUGCAUUCAACCUGAAAAUGAACCUCUAGCCCUUGCAAAUGCGACAGUAGAAGGAAUUUGAUAGAAUUUUCUUUCUUUUAUUUUUUUAGAGCUAAAUUUGUUUUGAUAAAUUCUGAGCUGUUCUGUGAUCAUUAUAACUUUAUCGAUGUCAAUGCUGAAACAUAAGUGUCAAUAUUUACCAGAUACGUUAAAUAGCCUUACCUGCGGAUAUUAUUGGAGCGACCGAAAAGUAAAAAAAAUGUUUUGUAAAUAAAGGAAGGGCUCGCUUUGUUAUUUUUAGUUUCCUUUCACAUAGAUUUCUUGUUGUAUUUUUAAUGAAAAGGAACAUAAAUCCAGUAUCGACACAAUUAAGUCAACACAAUUAAGUAAUAACAAAAUAAAAUAAGUAAGUAAACUUUUGGAAAAGUUCAGAAAUUUCGCUAACACGGAAGUCCCUCGAUAUUUGCCACACAUGGUUUUUCAUGUUAUAGGUGCAUUUCACUUCACUUCGUAAUUACAUUUUGCCGGAAUUGAUUAAACAUGUAAUAAAUAACUGCGCGGAUUAUGCGGAAUACUUUGUCUCGAGUAUCGACUGCAACAGCAGUUCACAGUUUGUAAAUUUGAACACGUGUUUAAACCUCACUUUCUCAUUUUGUUUCUGAAUUUUUACUCUCAAUUUAUUACGAGUAUUAAAGUGGAACCACUGACUGUGAAGCAAGGUGAAACUAAUUACUGUGUCUAUUACAAUCCUGUUGAAUAGCAUCACAGACUAGGCUAAAAGUUAUAAGAUAAUUAAAAGGUGUUCCAGACUAGUAAUUAACGUGCUACUUUUGACUCAUGUAGACUCUAGACUGCAUAUUAUUGUUGCCUAUUAAUGUUUAUUUCCUCCUUUCUGUGAAAUCUAAAUUUGUUUGCCUGCCUAUAUUAUUUGUGAGCUUCUUGCAUCGUUUUUGGCCAAUGGCUGCCUUGCUGUUGGAAUCCACGAGCCAUGCCAUAUAGGAUGGAAAACAAAUUGAUAAGAUUGCAAUUGGGCAUCAGAAACAGAAGCUGUUACACUUUUCCUUGUCUGCCAAUUGAAAUGGCAAGACUAAGGUUUUUUAAAUCAGAUUAAAAGUUGUUUUUUCUUCAGCGUAUUCAUCCACUCAAUUUGUUAUCAUGUAAGGGUAUCAAACUGAUGAAUGUUCGAAAUGUGAGAUAGAUGAUUCGCUGAUUCCACAAGGAGAAUGUUGUCAUCUGGCAAGUAUUGCACAUUCCCCAAGCAACCAUCAUGGUCCGGAUGCUACUCACGCUUGUUCUGUUAUGUAAAAGCGGUAAAAGUAUCCCCUUUCAACCUUGAGGGCUUUUUCUUUUACAUCUCUACCGAUUUGUCCAGCAUGAUGCGCUCUACCGAGACUAUUGGUCAUUGCGAUGCAUAUGGAGUGAUGCAAAGACAAGAACUUGAAAGACCAACAAUCCGGAAAAGCAAGUAAAAAGUAAAGUAACUUAUGGGGGAGAGUCAUUAGGGUCAUGUUACCUAUGCAAGAGUCGUUGGAGGCGAUAAAAGUGACCAGUCUCUGACGUUCAAAAAAUCAUUCACUCUUGGGACUUGGAGAAGAGCGGUGAAACUUGUGCGCGCCUUAUUCCCUAUCAACUACCGCCAGCAAAGUAGUUGGAUUUAGAC